ACUCCCGCAUGCCCCGCAUCCAUCACACGCCCGCCUGCUGCCGCUGGGUCGCAGACGGGCAGGGAGGCCGGCUCACCGGGGGCAGCCGCGCUCUCCUGCCCCCCGACCUGCCCCUCUCCGGGGGCAUCCGGGUUCAGCCGCCCAGCAGACGCAAGGUGGGCUCACAUCUCUGUCCCAGCUUUCAGCCAAGCUUCCGGAGGGUCCCAUUUGGACGAGGUGAGGAGGCCCCCACCCAGAAAGCCCAGGUCUUUGGUCAGAGAAGGUGCGCGAGGGUUUAAGUUCAGCGGGGCCGACACCCGGUGCCCUUCCUGUCUUAACCCCCCUCCUCCCCGCCCGAUGCAGCAAACGUUUCUUGGGAAAAAGGCCCAGGCCGGGUGACGCCAGGAGGGGCUCUAGAGCUGGAGCCUGGAGAGGGGGCCACGGGUGCAUCCAGGUGGCAUCCAGGUGAGGCCGGGGUUCCGGGCAGACACUCCGCCCCUGCCCCUCCGCCCGGGGUAGUGUCUUGCCCCCUGGCAGGUCCCAGACCUGAGAGGCGGUGUCUGGGACCGGGGCCACCAGGACCGACGUGUCCCGGGCUGGCCCAGCACAGUCUGGGGUCCAAGAGCCCCAGGGGCAGGGAGAGGGCUUCCCCAGCACGGCGGGGAGUGGAUCCGGAGCCGCACCUCCACACGCAGGAGAGACAAGCUGGGGACCCCGAGGCUCCGGUCAGGGCAGGACUUAACUCUGAGCCCUGACCGUGGGAGAGGCAGUGGUGAAGCCAGGAUGGGAAGGAGUUCCCUCCACCGCGAGCCCCGUGGUCGGCAGGUGAGCUGAGCCCAGUCCACAGGGGGCGGGCCCAUGCCCGUGCCCUCACACACGUCUCUCCACCACCCCCGACAUGCAGGCACCCCUGUCACAGGCUGUCCGGGACCCCACAGCAGCCCCCAGCCUCCAUGGCCCCGGGCCCAUGGCUCUGACUCCAGGACCCCAGUGUCUGACCUGGGCAGGCUCAGGUUUCUUACAAUGCACACAGAUUUGUUUGCUUAUCAGGAAAAGAAACAAAAGACAAACGUGAAGAAAUCCUGGGGAGGAAUGAAGGUGGGAACUGUCCUCUGUGAGCGACCUCCGAUCUCGAAACCUGAGCCAGCUAACCCGUCACUGGUGCGAGGGGCUGAGCAGCCACCUGCCCUGCCACCCACCAGCCUCCCUGCUGGCCCUGGAGGAGGUGGGCUCUGGACCGGCCUGGUCAACCCCCGAGGCUGGCACGCGGUUGGGCACUCUCCCUUGGAACGGACACCAAGCAGCGACAGUUCCCGGGUGUGAGUUAGCUCUCGGGGAUGCCCGCCAGCCAGUUGACUUGGAGCCUCAAGAUGUGGGGUUUUGGCCCCACUCACCCCCCAACACACCUCCGGGCCUCAAUGUCCCCUUCUUUAAAUGGAGAAGGCUGGUCUCGGUGACCUGGAAGAUACCUGCCGGUCCCACAUGAAAUCCUGUGACCCUAAGGAAGGUGGGCGGGCAGGGAGAUACCCCUGGUUGCCCCAGGAAGUCAUACCUGAGUGGCUUUUAGAUCAUAGGGGUCAGCCUUUCUGUCCCCUUUGAAGUAUUUAUCGAGCUCGUGUUUGCGGAGGGCUGACCGCGGGCCAGGAGUUGUCCACGCACUUCUCAGCACUGUCUCACUUAAUGUUCCACAGACCUACCGGGCCCUUGUAUUGUCUCCAGUUUAUAGCUGUGGGAACCCAGGCACAGAGAGGUUAGGCUGUCUGCUUGAGGUCACACAGCUGUCAGCACGCUCCUGCCUGAUCUCCAACCCGGGGCUCCCAGGGAGCUGCAAAGUGCUCCUUUAAGCUUUGGGGCGGGGGGGUCUCACUGUCAGGAACCGGGGCAGCCUAUCCUAACAUGCAGGCCAGAAGACCUCCCAGAAUCUCAUGAGCCCACCAAGGCCUCCCACAAAACUCCGUGGACACCCAAAACCUAAUGAUAUUUGUAGAAAUCCUUUCCAAAGCAGCUGUUCAAAUAAGGCGCCUCGUUAGUCAAGAAGCUGGCGUGGUCGGGGAACACACAACAGCUGGGUUCUUUUUCCUUCUUGCUCAAAUCGGGGUAUUAUUUUUCAAAGCAGACCGGCAGUUCGAGUCCUUGAUGGGAAGCUCCACCCCGCCCCUCCAUUGGGCACCUAAUCCUCUAAUGCCCUUUAUCAAGCGCCCAGUCGUUUAAAGUGUUAUUAAAUGCCGUUUUUUUGGAUUAUAAUUUUUACUCUUGAUUAUUUGAUGACUAUAUAAUCAAAUAUUCAUUGGAUAAUGAUGAUUAAAAUAUAUAAUCCCCCAAA
This 2302-nucleotide long non-coding RNA is filed under the name Bos indicus x Bos taurus (hybrid cattle). RNAcentral describes it as "lncRNA (ENSBIXG00005019011.1)". The record is from RNAcentral. Lineage: Eukaryota; Metazoa; Chordata; Mammalia; Artiodactyla; Bovidae.